CGUAGGGGCAAGCGUUGUCCGGAAUCAUUGGGCGUAAAGCGCGUGUAGGCGGUUCGGUAAGUCUGCUGUGAAAGUCCAGGGCUCAACCCUGGGAUGCCGGUGGAUACUGUCGGGCUAGAGUGCGGAAGAGGCGAGUGGAAUUCCCGGUGUAGCGGUGAAAUGCGCAGAUAUCGGGAGGAACACCAAUUGCGAAGGCAGCUCGCUGGGACGUAACUGACGCUGAGACGCGAAAGCGUGGGGGAGCAAACAGGAUU
This 254-nucleotide ribosomal RNA is filed under the name uncultured bacterium. RNAcentral describes it as "partial 16S ribosomal RNA". It matches the Rfam family "Bacterial small subunit ribosomal RNA", at positions 526 to 779 of the family's 1533-position model. The record is from RNAcentral.